GGACCAGCCACAGGUUAAUAGCUGCCUCUGGGCACCAGGUCAGCCCACUGCCAAAGCAGGAAAAGGUCUCAGGCUCCCUGGGCAAGGCUGCACCUCCCCCAACCCACACCACCAUGUCCAUCUCCAGGGGCACCUGGAGAGCUUGUUGCCAUUGAGCCUGGGGCUGAGAUCCUGGUCUGCCCAGUGCCACUCUCAGAAUGGAGGGACAAGGCAACAGGCCUUUAUGGGGUGGGUCCACCCUCUUCAGGGCAGCCCUGGGCCCAAAGGCUGCAGGGCCCGUGUUCCAGGCUUGCAGCCUCCAGGUUGGUGGUUCCAUCCCUCUUCCCUUGCCACUGUGUCCUGUGUCCAGUUGCUCUGCCAGCCCCUCCCAGGAGCCUGGCUAUAGUCUCCCAAGAACCUGAGCUCUGGGUUAGAGCCUGGGCAUCAUCUGUGACUCUAAGUGUCAGCUGGGACUGAAGGCCGCUGACAACACAGAAGGCUGGUCUGAUUCACAUGCCAACCCUUGAGCCUCACAGACCACUCUGACUGAAUUAGUCCGGGGUGGGCCCUGGCCUUGGUAUCCUUAAGGAGCUCCUCAGGACGUUCUAAUAUACAGACUGGGUGGAGAGCUUGUGGUCUGGGACAGCAGACACGAUGACCAGGGUAUGAACAACACCCAGAGGAGUCUCAAGGGUUUAGGAGACAAACCCAGCAGUUUAAGUUGAUGCAUGUGUACAGGUUGUAUAUACACACGCAUACACACAGCAUGUGCAUACAGGCAUACACACCUGUGGGCACACCCCCCACAAACCCUCAGGAAGCAGGAUGAACCCCAGCUGCUCCUCCAGUUCCUGUCACCCGCACAAGGGACCGGGAAGCCUCAUGGUAGAAAGACGCCUGAUGCCGCGUGGCCAGCAUUCUCCUUCUACACAUGAGGAAAUAGAGUCCCAGACAGGGUAAGACUCCUGUCAGCAUGGUCGCGGCCAUGUGGAUGUGACUCCUUGGUGGCAGGAUGGCAUGGGCAUGUCCACGGACUCUAACUGCACUGAGAAAGCAUGACUCACCAUGCUCCAGGGAUGCCCCCUUCUCUCAACCCCGAGCCUGAACACAUUCCUUCACUGCCCACACGGCCCUUUCUCUUUGCCCCAUUGCCCCUCUCCCCCAAGCCCCAGGACAAGCUUUGCUCCUGCCCUGCGAUGCCCCAACCCUCACACCUACAUACUCCUGCACACUCCCCUCUUGCCUGCGCACAGGGCAGUUACUUGGGCCCCCUGGGCUCCCACAGCACUUUGGGGAUGCUUGCCCAUGACCACAGUGACAUUAUUUGUCCCCAUGACUGUCUUCCCUAGUGGACCCACAGCUCGCCCAGGGCAGUGCCUGAGAUCAUGUGCCCUUCCCAUCCCAGGCCUUACACAGCUACUUGAGGUACUGCAAAGGUUUGAUAUGACAGUGAGGGUACCAGUCAAAGUCAAGGAUCCCUGUAGGCAUUUCUACCUCCCCUGGUCUUCAGGAAGGUCUUGUCAUAACCACUCUCAUCCCUGAGGUUUAAGGUCUUAGGAUUAAAAUUACCGUCAUUCAUUGGACACUGAAUGGUGGUAGCUCCUGUGUCAGGACCCAAAUGCCAGGAGAGCCAUGGGAUGGUUCUGAUCCCGCCAGCUGAACUUGGGGCACAUGGGGUGGCCAGGACCUUGCAGACUCCCCCAGGCACCAAACCAGAGUUGGUGCUCUAUGGAGCAGUUCAGGCACCAGCACCCUCCUGUGAGGACUGCUGUCUUUCUCUAAGAGGCCAGCAGAGACACCCACACUCCAUGGCACAGAUUAGGGGGUCUAAAGGGAAGCUCCAGGAACCCCAUGUCUGCUGGGGGACCUACCACAGCCUCAAGGGACUCUGUGCUCAACGUCAAGCCUGGCCAAGUCACUCAUCCAGUAUAAUCCUAACGCCACCUGUGUGCUGGGCACCGUGGAAGACAAAAAGGGAAGGGUGACUUGGAUCUGGUCCCAGCUUUCGGGAGCUCCAGGCUGUGGGGCAGAUGGCUGUGCAAACAGGCUGUGAUAAAUGACACAGGAUGCUGCAUUCCAGGUUCUGUGCACAUACCUGCUGACAUGGUACCCAGGACCUAAGAAAGGGAGGAAGGGAAGAACCCGAAACUCCUCCCAGAUCAUGGAGUAACAGCCUCAAAGAAUCAGGGGUUCUCACCAGCAACUAAAACCGUGAUUCUGCAGUCAAGGAUACUGAGGCUUCUACAGAACCUUUACUUCAGAGCUUUAGCUCCCAUGAUAGCAGCCCCAAGGAACACAUGAAUGAACAUUCUAUUCCCAAACCUGCUGAUGAAAAGAAAACUGCCCCAAAUCUGGUCUGGGACAGAGCUUUUUGUGUGGUGUAACUAUAGCC
Non-coding RNA from Manis javanica (Malayan pangolin), 2371 nucleotides. NCBI's taxonomy places the organism in Eukaryota, Metazoa, Chordata, Mammalia, Pholidota, Manidae. The record is from RefSeq and is a predicted model, not a curated record.